GGGCUGCAGUAUUUUGACUGUACAAAGGUAGCAUAAUCAAUAGUCUCUUAAUUGGUGACUUGUAUGAAAGAUUGGAUGAGAUAUAAACUGUCUCUGAUUAAUUUAUAAAAAUUAAUUUUUUAGUAAAAAAGCUAAAAUAAUUUUAAAAGACGAGAAGACCCUAUAGAGUUUAAUAUUUUAUUUAAUAAUUAUUAAUGUAUAUAAUUUUAAAAAUUAAAAUUAAGUAAAUUAUUUUGUUGGGGUGAUAAAAAAAUUAAAUUAACUUUUUUUAAUUAUUAACAUUAAUUUAUGAUUGAAUGAUCCAUUUAUAGUGAUUAAAAGAAAAAAUUACCUUAGGGAUAACAGCGUAAUUUUUUUUUUUAGUUCAAAUAGGAAAAAAAGUUUGCGACCUCGAUGUUGGAUUAA
This 405-nucleotide ribosomal RNA is filed under the name Papilio amynthor. RNAcentral describes it as "partial 16S ribosomal RNA". The record is from RNAcentral. Lineage: Eukaryota; Metazoa; Arthropoda; Insecta; Lepidoptera; Papilionidae.